This 497-nucleotide ribosomal RNA is filed under the name uncultured bacterium. RNAcentral describes it as "partial 16S ribosomal RNA". It matches the Rfam family "Bacterial small subunit ribosomal RNA", at positions 28 to 507 of the family's 1533-position model. The record is from RNAcentral.
GAUGAACGCUGGCGGCGUGCCUAAUACAUGCAAGUCGAGCGAACAGAUGAGGAGCUUGCUCCUCUGACGUUAGCGGCGGACGGGUGAGUAACACGUGGAUAACCUACCUAUAAGACUGGGAUAACUUCGGGAAACCGGAGCUAAUACCGGAUAAUAUAUUGAACCGUAUGGUUCAAUAGUGAAAUACGGUUUUGUUGUCACUUAUAGAUGGAUCCGCGCCGCAUCAGCUAGUUGGUAAGGUAACGGCUUACCAAGGCAACGAUUCUUAGCCGACCUGAGAGGGUGAUCGGCCACCCUGGAACUGAGACACGGUCCAGACUCCUACGGGAGGAAGCAGUAGGGAAUCUUGCGAAAUGAGCGAAAGCUUGACGGAGCAACGCCGCGUGAGUGAUGAAGGUCUUCGGAUCGUAAAACUCUGUUAUUAGGGAAGAACAAAUGUGUAAGUAACUAUGCACGUCUUGACGGUACCUUAUCAGAAAGCCACGGCUAACUACGUG